This 757-nucleotide ribosomal RNA is filed under the name Arthrobacter sp. Its description in RNAcentral is "bacterial SSU rRNA". It matches the Rfam family "Bacterial small subunit ribosomal RNA", at positions 19 to 787 of the family's 1533-position model. Lineage: Bacteria; Bacillati; Actinomycetota; Actinomycetes; Micrococcales; Micrococcaceae. The record is from RNAcentral.
CUGGCUCAGGAUGAACGCUGGCGGCGUGCUUAACACAUGCAAGUCGAACGAUGAUCCGGUGCUUGCACCGGGGAUUAGUGGCGAACGGGUGAGUAACACGUGAGUAACCUGCCCUUAACUCUGGGAUAAGCCUGGGAAACUGGGUCUAAUACCGGAUAUGACUCCUCAUCGCAUGGUGGGGGGUGGAAAGCUUUAUUGUGGUUUUGGAUGGACUCGCGGCCUAUCAGCUUGUUGGUGAGGUAAUGGCUCACCAAGGCGACGACGGGUAGCCGGCCUGAGAGGGUGACCGGCCACACUGGGACUGAGACACGGCCCAGACUCCUACGGGAGGCAGCAGUGGGGAAUAUUGCACAAUGGGCGCAAGCCUGAUGCAGCGACGCCGCGUGAGGGAUGACGGCCUUCGGGUUGUAAACCUCUUUCAGUAGGGAAGAAGCGAAAGUGACGGUACCUGCAGAAGAAGCGCCGGCUAACUACGUGCCAGCAGCCGCGGUAAUACGUAGGGCGCAAGCGUUAUCCGGAAUUAUUGGGCGUAAAGAGCUCGUAGGCGGUUUGUCGCGUCUGCCGUGAAAGUCCGGGGCUCAACUCCGGAUCUGCGGUGGGUACGGGCAGACUAGAGUGAUGUAGGGGAGACUGGAAUUCCUGGUGUAGCGGUGAAAUGCGCAGAUAUCAGGAGGAACACCGAUGGCGAAGGCAGGUCUCUGGGCAUUAACUGACGCUGAGGAGCGAAAGCAUGGGGAGCGAACAGGAUUAGAUACCC